This 77-nucleotide transfer RNA is filed under the name Leptospirillum sp. Its description in RNAcentral is "tRNA-Trp". It matches the Rfam family "tRNA". Rfam says of the family: Transfer RNA (tRNA) molecules are approximately 80 nucleotides in length. Their secondary structure includes four short double-helical elements and three loops (D, anti-codon, and T loops). Lineage: Bacteria; Pseudomonadati; Nitrospirota; Nitrospiria; Nitrospirales; Nitrospiraceae. The record is from RNAcentral. RNAcentral also lists the same sequence under 11 other names.
AGGCCAGUAGCUCAAUUAGGCAGAGCACCGGUCUCCAAAACCGGGGGUUGGGGGUUCGAUUCCCUCCUGGCCUGCCA